This 24-nucleotide non-coding RNA is filed under the name Mus musculus (house mouse). Lineage: Eukaryota; Metazoa; Chordata; Mammalia; Rodentia; Muridae. The record is from RNAcentral.
UGCCCCUUCAGUGACGGGCGGCGG